RNAcentral lists this transfer RNA (107 nucleotides) under Pseudozyma flocculosa. It matches the Rfam family "tRNA". Rfam says of the family: Transfer RNA (tRNA) molecules are approximately 80 nucleotides in length. Their secondary structure includes four short double-helical elements and three loops (D, anti-codon, and T loops). Further hydrogen bonds mediate the characteristic L-shaped molecular structure. tRNAs have two regions of fundamental functional importance: the anti-codon, which is responsible for specific mRNA codon recognition, and the 3' end, to which the tRNAs corresponding amino acid is attached (by aminoacyl-tRNA synthetases). tRNAs cope with the degeneracy of the genetic code in two manners: having more than one tRNA (with a specific anti-codon) for a particular amino acid; and 'wobble' base-pairing, i.e. permitting non-standard base-pairing at the 3rd anti-codon position. Lineage: Eukaryota; Fungi; Basidiomycota; Ustilaginomycetes; Ustilaginales; Ustilaginaceae. RNAcentral also lists the same sequence under 1 other name. The record is from Rfam by way of RNAcentral.
UCCCGGCUAGCUCAGUCGGUAGAGCGUCAGACUUUUAGCCCGGUCUGUCCGCAAAGGCGGAUUUGAGGUCCAUCUGAACGUCAUGGGUUCGAGCCCCAUGUCGGGAG